UCUUUAGCGUAGGUAUAUCCCAUGCAAUGUUUGGGGCAUACUUAUGCUAAAA
RNAcentral lists this microRNA precursor (52 nucleotides) under Bos taurus (domestic cattle). RNAcentral describes it as "mir-1302 microRNA precursor family". It matches the Rfam family "mir-1302 microRNA precursor family". The record is from Rfam by way of RNAcentral. Lineage: Eukaryota; Metazoa; Chordata; Mammalia; Artiodactyla; Bovidae. RNAcentral also lists the same sequence under 2 other names.